CAAUAGCGUAUAUUAAAGUUGUUGCGGUAAAAAAGCUCGUAGUUGGAUUUCUGUUGAGAGCGACCGGUCCAUACCAUGUAUGCGUAUCUGGCUUGCUCUCGGCAUCCUCUCGAUAGACGUUACUGCGCUUGAUUGCGUGGUGCGGAUCUCGGGACUUUUACUUUGAGGAAAUUAGAGUGUUCACGGCAGGCUUUCGCCAGAAUACAUUAGCAUGGAAUAAUACUAUAGGAUCUUGGUUCUAUUUUGUUGGUUUCUAGAAUUGAGAUAAUGAUUAAUAGGGACAAUUGGGUGCAUUCGUAUCAACACGUCAGAGGUGGAAUUCUUGGAUUGUGUUGCGACGAACUACUGCGAAAGCAUUUGCCAAGGAUGUUUUCAUUGA
This 379-nucleotide ribosomal RNA is filed under the name uncultured eukaryote. RNAcentral's name for it is "partial 18S ribosomal RNA". It matches the Rfam family "Eukaryotic small subunit ribosomal RNA", at positions 592 to 976 of the family's 1831-position model. The record is from RNAcentral.